AGCUCCAUCGUUACAAUGGCCUCUUUAGACCCAGCUCCUGCCUCCCAGCCUUCUCUCUAGGCCCUGAACUUUCUCAAGUCGACGUCACCAGGCCCAGCUCAUGCUUCUUGGCAGCCUCUCCAGGCCCAGCUCUUCCUCCCGGCGGCCUCUGCAGGCCCAGACUGUCAUCAAGUCGGCCUGUCCAGGGCCAGCUCCUGCCUCCCGGCGCCCUCUGCAGGCCCAAGUCGUCCUCAAGUUGGCCUCCCCAGGCCCAGCUCCAGCCUCUCGGCGGCCUCUCCGGGUGCAAAAGUUCCUCGAGUCAGCCUCUCCAGGCCCAGCUCCUCCUGCCUCCCAGUGCCUCUUUCGGCCCAGCCCAGCUCAUGCCUCUGGGCGGCCUUCCCAGGCCCCGCUUUUGACUUUUGGCGGCCUCUGCAGGCCUCGACAAGGCCCGGCCUCCUGCCUCCCGAAGCCUGCACAGGCCCAGCCUCUGCCUCACAGCAGACUCUCCACGCCCAGCUAGCUCUCGCCUCACUGCGGCCUCCCCAGUCCAAAGCUCCUGCCUCUCGGCCGCUUCGGCAGGCCCAGCUCCCGCCUGCCAGUGCCUCUUCAGGCCCAUGGGGCUCAUUCCUCACAACGGCCUUUCCAGGCCCCGUUUUUCCCUUCCGGCGGCCUCUCCGGGCCCAGAACCUCCUCAAGUUGGCCUCUCCAGACCCACUUGCACCCUCCGGGCGUCCUCUCCAGGCCCAGCUCUUCCUCCCGGCUGCGUCUCCAGGCCCGACUCCUGCCUCCCAACAACCUCUUUGGACUCAGUGCCUGCCCAUCUCCUGGCGGCCUUGGUCGGCCCACAGCUUCCUCAAGCCAAGCUCCCCAGGCCCAGGUCAGGCCUCACGGUGGCCUCUCCAGGAUCAGCUCCUGCCCUCCGAUGGUGUCUCCAGGCCCCAAAUGGUCUCCGGCCAGUGGGCUCCUCCACGCCCAGCUUGGGCCUCCCGGCGACCUCUGCAGGCCCAAGUCGUCCUGAAGUCGGCCUCUCCCGGCCCUGCCUCCCAGCAAGUAAGCAAGCUUUUUUGGCUUAGCUCCUGCCCAGCUCCCAACCGCCUUUGCUGCAGAAACUUUGGGGUCUACAAACGCCGGCGAGAGCUGAGCCGAAAGAGCUUGCUUGCUGGGAGGCAGGAGCUGGGCCGGGAGAUGCAGCCAGGAGGAACAGCUGGGCCUGCAGAGGCCGCCAUGCGGGAGGCAGAGGCUGGGCCUCCUCAAGUUGGCCUCUCCAGACCCACUUGCAGCCUCCCGGCGUCCUCUCCGGGCCCAGCUCUUCCUCCCGGCUGCGUCUCCAGGCCCAACUCCGGCCUCCCAACAAGGUCUUUGGACUCAGCUCCCCCGCAGCUUCCAGCGGCCCUGGUAGGCCCACAACUUCCUGAAGCCAAGCUCCCCAGGCCCAGCUCAGGCCUCACGGUGGCCUCUCCAGGCUCAGCUCCUGCCCUCCGACAGCGUCUCCAGGCCCCAAACGGCCUCCGGUCGGUGGGCUCCUCUAGGCCCAGCUUGGGCCUCCCGGCAGCCUCUGCAGGCCCAAAUCGUCCUGAAGUCGGCCUCUCCAGGCCCAGCUCCAGCCUCCCGGCGGCCUCUGCAGGCCUAAGUCGUCCUCAAGUCGGCCUGGAAAUGGGCCUGGAAGAGCUGCAAGUCGGCCUCCCCGGGCCCAGCUCCGUCCUCUCGGCGGCCUCUCCAGGUGCAAAACUUCCUCGAGUCAGCCUCUCCAGGCCCAGCUCCUCCUGCCUCAGUGGCCUCUUUCGGCCCAGCCCAGCUCAUGGCUCUCGGCGGUCUUCCCAGGCCCCGCUUUUGACUUUUGGUGGCCUCUUCAGGCCCAGAACUUGACCUCCAGUCGGCCUUUGCAGGCCCGGCCUCCUGCCUCUCGAAGGUCUGCAUGGGCCCGGCCUCGGCCUCACAGCGGACUCUCCACGCCCAGCUAGCUCUCGCCUCACUGCACCCUCCCCAGUCCAAAGCUCCUGCCUUUCGGCCACUUCGGCAGGCCCAGCUCCUGCCUGCCAGUGGCCUCUUUAGGCCCAGCUCAUUCCUCACAACGGCCUUUCCAGGCCCCGUUUUUCCCUUCCGGCAGCCUCUUGGCCUCUAAUUUUUUUAUCUUUUGUGUAUAAAUCCCAAAUUAUGGAAUUUUGGAAUAUUUCCACCAUUAUAUAAAUAUUUUGGUAGGU
This 2180-nucleotide long non-coding RNA is filed under the name Homo sapiens (human). RNAcentral's name for it is "non-protein coding LINC00265:17". Lineage: Eukaryota; Metazoa; Chordata; Mammalia; Primates; Hominidae. The record is from RNAcentral.